AUGGCGGCGGCAAUGCCAGCACAAGGGCUUGGUGGGCGGAAAAGACAUGAUGAUUUAUGGACAUACUUUACACAUAAUCCAGCAGAAAAUAAAACGGAAUGCCUUGUAGUGGGAGACAGAGGUACACGCUGUGGCUAUAAACUACGUGGCAAGAAUACGACCAAUCUCAAGAGGCAUCUAAAGGCUCACCAUGCUGCUAUUUCUGCGACGAAUGGCGCGUCAAAACGGCGCGUUGAUAAACUCUUCCCUUGCCUACAUCAGCAAGGGAGAUGAUCCCCACGCCCCCCCCCUCUGGAUUCCCACCCACUGUAUGGAUUGCCCGCCCAACUCAAAAGUUGCUGUUUGUCCUACCAAGCCUACUGCGCAUGCGCGAAGCCUACUGCACAUGCGCGAAGCCUACUGCGCAUGCGCAGAACACAUGACUACAUUUUGUAGUGAGGAGCCAUAGAAGACACAACAUGGAAAUUGCGCUGUACAUGGAUGUGACAACACAGAAAGGAGUCUGUUUUUACUGCCGACGGGAGAGCCCCUGAAGACGCAGUGGCUUAAUUUUAUUUACUUCAAUAAUACACUGUCGAGUCUACCUAAGACGGUGUAUGUUUGUCAGAAGCAUUUUCCUGAUGAAUGUUUUGCACAUCAACUGUCACUGAAGCCUGGGUCUGUGCCAAGCAUCCCUGCCGCAUCAGCAACAAACACCGAACAAACAUCUAAUUUUUGGGUUUGUUUACCUGACAUGUUUCGACGUACAACUUCCAUCUUCCUCAGAG
Long non-coding RNA from Neoarius graeffei (lesser salmon catfish), 767 nucleotides. RefSeq lists it as uncharacterized. The transcript has 3 exons. The record is from RefSeq and is a predicted model, not a curated record. Lineage: Eukaryota; Metazoa; Chordata; Actinopteri; Siluriformes; Ariidae.